AUUAUAUAAGUAACAAUUUAAGAAGGUUGAAACUUUUGUUGGAUUACAUAUAAAAGCCCGCGACGAGAGCUCGAUAGCUGUUCUUGAAAUCGUUUUAGACUGUACUUUUGAACCCUACGACCAAGACCAAAUCUUAAGGGUGAGACAAACUUGGCAAUCGUGUCUACUAUAGUUUUUGAGCAGUUUUCUGAGCUUUGGAUAAAUCGACUGUACUCUAUUACGCGGAGAAUUUUCACAUGAUCCAAAUUGAACGUUUCGGAUUUUAAUUCCUGCUUUGAGGGAUCAAUGACAGAUCUUUCGAGUAUGUAAGACUUGUUAACAUUCAAAAGAUCCGAUGCCCAUCUGGGCAGUCUUCCCUGUUUAACAAGUAAUCUUUCGGUAUAUAGUCGACCUUCAUCAUCCACAUAUCGCUCGAGUACAUCAGCUGAGACUACGUGAAGACUAUACGGACUAACUAUUGUUAAUAAAAGAACAUUAACACAAUAAAAAUGAACCUCAUAGUUUAUGAUCGACGUACUUUGGAUAUCUAGUGAGCCAAGCUGAAGAGACUGUAUUCCAGGAAGCAUUUAACUCGGUUUUGUCAGUACAUAUUGCAGUCAUAUCAGAAAAUCAAUCAUUUGCUUUUAAUUUUUUUUUGAAAAAUAAAUAUGCUAAAAAGCCUUUUAGCCAGUCUUCCCUCAAAAUAUUUCACCCAAAAAGAUUUACUGACGAAAGAUUGGUAUAAUGGACAAUUUAUUGACUUAAUAAAUAACGUGAUAUAAGGUGCUCGUUAUUUUCACUUGUGAAAACAUCACAUGUUAGUAUUGUAAAACAGAUAAUCAGUGGCGAUGCUCAAAGAAU
This is a non-coding RNA of Schizosaccharomyces pombe (fission yeast), 840 nucleotides long. The record is from the annotation of a GenBank genome assembly. Lineage: Eukaryota; Fungi; Ascomycota; Schizosaccharomycetes; Schizosaccharomycetales; Schizosaccharomycetaceae.